This 529-nucleotide long non-coding RNA is filed under the name Vitis vinifera (wine grape). RNAcentral describes it as "long non-coding RNA (VVIN_LNC001740)". The record is from RNAcentral. Lineage: Eukaryota; Viridiplantae; Streptophyta; Magnoliopsida; Vitales; Vitaceae.
GAAGAUCCACAUCAGUUUCGCGUCACAGAUCACCCUCUCCUAUGCGGCGUAGAUUGCGUUCUCCAGGGCGACGCAGAUCACAAACUCCUGUGCGACGUAGAUCUCCACGCAGGUCACCACCUGGAUGGCGUAGAUCCCGUUCACCUGGACGACGCAGAUCCCGUUCACCUGGACGACGCAGAUCCCGUUCUCCUGGGCGACGCAGAUCCCGUUCUCCUGGGCGACGUAGAUCCCGUUCUCCUGGGCGACGUAGAUCUCCAUCUCCUUUGCGGCGUAGAUCUCUAUCACCUGCAUGGCGUGGAUCCCCCCCUCCUUUGAGGCGCAGAUCACCAACGCCGAAACGACGUAGGUCACCAACUUAUAAGUUACCUUCUCCUGUUCGACGGUGGCGUCGAAGAUCUCCAACUCCCCGGCACAGGUCUCCAUCGCCAGUAAGACGUAGGUCUCCAAUACCUGCCCGUCGGAGAUCACCGUCUCCUUUUCGACGAAGAUCCCCUUCAUCAAAUGGAUGGAGUUCAUCCUCUCCUAU